GGAAGUAAAAGUCGCAACAAGGUUUCCGUAGGUGAACCUGCGGAAGGAUCAUUAUUGUAUACCGAGGUGCGAGGGCUGUCGCUGACCCGAAAGGUCGUGCACGCCCGAGUGCCCUCACACACAUCCAUCUCACCCCUAUGUGCACCACCGCGUGGGUCCCCCUUUGGCUUGUUCGGAGGGGGGCUUACGUUUUCACACAAACUUUGUAUGCAGUGUAGAAUGUAUUUUUUGUUUUUGCGAUCACGCAAUCAAUACAACUUUCAACAACGGAUCUCUUGGCUCUC
RNAcentral lists this unclassified non-coding RNA (284 nucleotides) under plant metagenome. Its description in RNAcentral is "partial contains small subunit ribosomal RNA, internal transcribed spacer 1, and 5.8S ribosomal RNA". The stretch from base 1 to 54 matches the Rfam family "Eukaryotic small subunit ribosomal RNA", at positions 1778 to 1831 of the family's 1831-position model. The record is from RNAcentral.